Molecule: long non-coding RNA, 469 nt
Organism: Drosophila ananassae
Lineage: Eukaryota; Metazoa; Arthropoda; Insecta; Diptera; Drosophilidae
Exons: 3
Source: RefSeq, a predicted model, not a curated record
UUCAAAAAUGACAAAUUACAAUACAAAAUUUUACUCCAAGAGCAUCUCUAGACUAAGAAUCAAUCAAUAAUUGUGGAAAAAAGUGUACUCGUUAUAGAGAACCUCUUCUUGGCGGACUGGGUUUUUAUGACACUGCGGCGACGGAAUUAUGACGGCGGCAAUCGAUAUAUGGAUAGUUGGAUAUUGUUUCUUUGGCGACCAUUCCAGCCGGCCGGACUUGAUGCAACACCGCCACUCUAUCACUAAAUCAUGCCGUCCGGGUCCGGGUCCGGUUGAUUAUGUCGCAGGGCCGUGAUGAAUAACCAGCAAUCCGUAACCAAAACCGAAACGUCUUCGUCGGUCCUAACAAAAAAAAAAAAAGAAAUAAAGAAAAUACAGAAAAAGAAGAUAAGGCGCCGCCAAUACACACAGAUAUAAUCCCCAUUUGUCCAAACACCAAGAUCCUAACAUCUAAGUACACAAUAAUAUU